AAUGAACGUUGGCGGCGUGGAUUAGGCAUGCAAGUCGAGCGAGAACCCCGCAAGGGGGGACAGCGGCGCAAGGGACAGUAAUGUGUAGAUCAUCUGCCCUCAGGUCCGGGAUAGCUGCGGGAAACUGCAGGUAAUACCGGAUAACAUCUCCGGAUCAAAGGUGUGAUUCCGCCUGAGGAUGAGUCUGCAUCCUAUUCGCUAGUUGGCAGGGUAACGGCCUACCAAGGCAUUGAUGGGGAGCGGGUGUGAGAGCACGACCCGCGUCAUUGGGACUGAGACACUGCCCAGACACCUACGGGUGGCUGCAGUCGAGAAUCUUCGGCAAUGGGCGCAAGCCUGACCGAGCGACGCCGCGUGUGGGAUGAAGGCCUUCGGGUUGUAAACCACUGUCAGAGGGGAUGAAAUGCAGGUGGGUUCUCCCAUCUGUUUGACAUAGCCUCAGAGGAAGGACGGGCUAAGUUCGUGCCAGCAGCCGCGGUAA
RNAcentral lists this ribosomal RNA (481 nucleotides) under uncultured bacterium. RNAcentral's name for it is "partial 16S ribosomal RNA". It matches the Rfam family "Bacterial small subunit ribosomal RNA", at positions 29 to 523 of the family's 1533-position model. The record is from RNAcentral.